RNAcentral lists this unclassified non-coding RNA (153 nucleotides) under uncultured Fusarium. RNAcentral's name for it is "sequence contains ITS1". Lineage: Eukaryota; Fungi; Ascomycota; Sordariomycetes; Hypocreales; Nectriaceae. The record is from RNAcentral.
CCGAGUUUACAACUCCCAAACCCCUGUGAACAUACCUAUCGUUGCUUCGGCGGGAUCGCCCCGGCGCCCUCGGGCCCGGACCCAGGCGCCCGCCGGAGGACCUAAACUCUUGUCUUUUUUAGUAUUCUUCUGAGUAAACAAGCAAAUAAAUCA